RNAcentral lists this ribosomal RNA (1449 nucleotides) under uncultured organism. RNAcentral's name for it is "16S ribosomal RNA". It matches the Rfam family "Bacterial small subunit ribosomal RNA". The record is from RNAcentral.
GAUGAACGCUAUCGACAGGCUUAACACAUGCAAGUCGAGGGGCAGCACAGGUAGCAAUACCGGGUGGCGACCGGCGCACGGGUGAGUAACGCGUAUGCAACUUACCUAUCAGAGGGGGAUAACCCGGCGAAAGUCGGACUAAUACCGCAUGAAGCAGGGGCCCCGCAUGGGGAUAUUUGCUAAAGAUUCAUCGCUGAUAGAUAGGCAUGCGUUCCAUUAGGCAGUUGGCGGGGUAACGGCCCACCAAACCGACGAUGGAUAGGGGUUCUGAGAGGAAGGUCCCCCACAUUGGUACUGAGACACGGACCAAACUCCUACGGGAGGCAGCAGUGAGGAAUAUUGGUCAAUGGCCGAGAGGCUGAACCAGCCAAGUCGCGUGAGGGAUGAAGGUUCUAUGGAUCGUAAACCUCUUUUAUAAGGGAAUAAAGUGCGGGACGUGUCCCGUUUUGUAUGUACCUUAUGAAUAAGGAUCGGCUAACUCCGUGCCAGCAGCCGCGGUAAUACGGAGGAUCCGAGCGUUAUCCGGAUUUAUUGGGUUUAAAGGGUGCGUAGGCGGCCUUUUAAGUCAGCGGUGAAAGUCUGUGGCUCAACCAUAGAAUUGCCGUUGAAACUGGGAGGCUUGAGUAUGUUUGAGGCAGGCGGAAUGCGUGGUGUAGCGGUGAAAUGCAUAGAUAUCACGCAGAACCCCGAUUGCGAAGGCAGCCUGCCAAGCCAUUACUGACGCUGAUGCACGAAAGCGUGGGGAUCAAACAGGAUUAGAUACCCUGGUAGUCCACGCAGUAAACGAUGAUCACUAGCUGUUUGCGAUACACUGUAAGCGGCACAGCGAAAGCGUUAAGUGAUCCACCUGGGGAGUACGCCGGCAACGGUGAAACUCAAAGGAAUUGACGGGGGCCCGCACAAGCGGAGGAACAUGUGGUUUAAUUCGAUGAUACGCGAGGAACCUUACCCGGGUUUGAACGCAUUCGGACCGAGGUGGAAACACCUUUUCUAGCAAUAGCCGUUUGCGAGGUGCUGCAUGGUUGUCGUCAGCUCGUGCCGUGAGGUGUCGGCUUAAGUGCCAUAACGAGCGCAACCCUUGCCACUAGUUACUAACAGGUAAAGCUGAGGACUCUGGUGGGACUGCCAGCGUAAGCUGCGAGGAAGGCGGGGAUGACGUCAAAUCAGCACGGCCCUUACAUCCGGGGCGACACACGUGUUACAAUGGCGUGGACAAAGGGAAGCCACCUGGCGACAGGGAGCGAAUCCCCAAACCACGUCUCAGUUCGGAUCGGAGUCUGCAACCCGACUCCGUGAAGCUGGAUUCGCUAGUAAUCGCGCAUCAGCCAUGGCGCGGUGAAUACGUUCCCGGGCCUUGUACACACCGCCCGUCAAGCCAUGGGAGCCGGGGGUACCUGAAGUCCGUAACCGCGAGGAUCGGCCUAGGGUAAAACUGGUGACUGGGGCUAA